Molecule: long non-coding RNA, 419 nt
Filed under: Equus caballus (horse)
Lineage: Eukaryota; Metazoa; Chordata; Mammalia; Perissodactyla; Equidae
Description: lncRNA (ENSECAG00000049052.1)
Source: RNAcentral
GCCCCUGCCCUGGGGGCAACCACCGUCAAAUGGGAUGGACACACACUUAUGAAAUCAACUCCCACUCUGGCAAGCUGAGAGAGAUGCCCAGGGAGAUAAACGCCUUAGAGACCCAAGGAGAAGCUGGUGAUUAAUUCUGACACGAGGCACACAGGUCAGCGAUGGCUUCACACUGUAGGUGAGGUUGAAACUGGGGUUCAGAGGACAAAUUAACCCAGAAGGGCAACAUACUUCAAAGAAAACAGACAAACUUUUCACCGCCAUCAUCCUUCUGAGAAAAGAGCAUGGCCUGAAGCCCUGGUGCGUCGGAAGCAGCUGUGUCGUGGAUGCCCCAGCUCCUGACAUGCCCACUCCAGACUCAGGAUCAGCAGGGAGGCCUCAUCCCACAGCCAAGGACCUCCAGUGAGAGGAAAGGAAGC